GAGCUGAAGGUUCGAGUUACCAAACGUCAGCCUCGAAACCUUAAUGACUUGGAGAAGGUCUGCAAAGAGGAGUGGGACAAAAUCCCUCCUGAGAUAUGUGCAAAGCUGGUGGCCAACUACAAGAAACGUCUGACCUCUGUGAUUGCCAACAAGGGUUUUGCCACCAAGUACUAAGUCAUGUUUUGCAGAGAGGUCAAAUACUUAUUUCCCUCAUUACAAUGCAAAUCAUUUUAUAACAUUUUUGACAUGCGUUUUUCUGGACUUUUUUGUUGUUAUUCUGUCUCUCACUGUUCAAAUAAACCUACUAUUAAAAUUAUAGACUGAUCAUUUCUUUGUAAGUGGGCAAACGUAGAAAAUCAGCAGGGGAUCAAAUACUUUUCCCCCCCACUGUAUGUCUUAUUUUCUAACAUUGCUUUCGUCUCUGUCUGCUGUCUAGAGAGAGAAAUACAGCCGAUUUGUUGGAAUUUAUCAAGGAAAGUCAAUUGUCAAGGCAGAGUGCCAAUGUGGCUGUUCGCCAAGUUUCUCUAGGAGACAGCUUCUGUAUAAAUGAUGUCAACCCACAGAAAGGCUGUCCUGUCCUGCACCUCUACCUGAGUUUUGUGUGCAAAACUGUGUGCAAACCUGGUGGCCAACUACAAGAAACGUCUGACCUCUGUGAUACUAAGUCAUGUUUUGCAGAGAGGUCAAAUACUUAUUUCCCUCAUUAC
Molecule: long non-coding RNA, 707 nt
Filed under: Salmo salar (Atlantic salmon)
Lineage: Eukaryota; Metazoa; Chordata; Actinopteri; Salmoniformes; Salmonidae
Description: lncRNA (ENSSSAG00000099610.1, ENSSSAG00020067476.1)
Source: RNAcentral